GCCUUCGUGGUGUAACGGUAGCACACUCGGCGCGUAUUCGGGAGGUCCAGGUUCGAGUCCUGGCGAGGACA
RNAcentral lists this transfer RNA (71 nucleotides) under Stegodyphus mimosarum. It matches the Rfam family "tRNA". From Rfam's summary of the family: Transfer RNA (tRNA) molecules are approximately 80 nucleotides in length. Their secondary structure includes four short double-helical elements and three loops (D, anti-codon, and T loops). The record is from Rfam by way of RNAcentral. Lineage: Eukaryota; Metazoa; Arthropoda; Arachnida; Araneae; Eresidae.